GCCUUCGUGAUGUAGUGGUCAGCAUGCUCGACGCGUAACCGAGAGGUCCGUGGUUCGAUUCCCGGCGAAAGCG
This 73-nucleotide transfer RNA is filed under the name Stegodyphus mimosarum. It matches the Rfam family "tRNA". From Rfam's summary of the family: Transfer RNA (tRNA) molecules are approximately 80 nucleotides in length. Their secondary structure includes four short double-helical elements and three loops (D, anti-codon, and T loops). Lineage: Eukaryota; Metazoa; Arthropoda; Arachnida; Araneae; Eresidae. The record is from Rfam by way of RNAcentral.